CGACUAAGCCAUGCAAGUGAUAGGAAUUUAGUUCCUACGCGAAUCGCUCAGUAACACGUCGAUAACCUACCCUUACGCAGGGAAUAAACUUGGAAAACUGAGUAUAAUGCCCGAUUUGUAAUGUUAUCUGGAAUUGAGACAUUGCGCAAAGAUUUAUCGUGUAAGGAUGGGUUGGCGGCCGAUUAGAUUGUUGGCGGGGUAAUGGCCCACCAAGUCUACGAUCGGUAGGGGCCUUGAGAGAGGGAGCCCCGAGAGGGUCACUGAGAAAUUGGACCUAGCCCUACGGGGUGCAGCAGGCGCGAAACCUCAUCAAUGCACGACAGUGUGAAUGGGGGACUCUACGUGCUCAUGCUUAGCAUGGGCUUUUGCAUAGUGUAAAUAGCUAUGCGAAUAAGGGGUGGGAAAGACCGGUGCCAGCAGCCGCGGUAACACCGGCGCCUCAAGUGGCAUUCAGUAUUACUGGGCCUAAAGCAUCCGUAGCCGGAUGUGUACCUCUUUCGUGAAAUUGUUUGGCUUAACCAAACAGCGUGCAGAAGACACUGCAUAUCUAG
RNAcentral lists this ribosomal RNA (551 nucleotides) under uncultured euryarchaeote. RNAcentral's name for it is "bacterial SSU rRNA". It matches the Rfam family "Archaeal small subunit ribosomal RNA", at positions 41 to 595 of the family's 1478-position model. The record is from RNAcentral. Lineage: Archaea; Methanobacteriati; Methanobacteriota.